Triticum aestivum (bread wheat) is the source of this 2755-nucleotide long non-coding RNA. RefSeq lists it as uncharacterized. The record is from RefSeq and is a predicted model, not a curated record. Lineage: Eukaryota; Viridiplantae; Streptophyta; Magnoliopsida; Poales; Poaceae. The transcript has 5 exons.
UAAGAAUGCGCCAUUAGUAACCAGGGUUACUAAUGGCGCACCUGGUGUGUGGUGCGCCAUUACUAGUUUUAAAAAAAAUAUAAAAAAAUGUUAGUAGUGAGCUCUGAUUUUCACAAGGCGGCAAGUGAAAAUCAGAGCUCAGGCGGCAGGUGAUUUUUUUUCUUGCUUCUAAUGGUAGGAUGAUGUUCUGUAUACUAAAAAGGACUCGUGCACACUUGCUUUGCUCCUUAGUGUUUAUGAGCAGUUGCCAAACAUUAUAAUAGGAUAUACACAUUGCUUCAAAACUGAGUAUAUUCCUUGGUGAUGGUGUAUUUAUUAUGAAAAUAAAUAGGACUGCUUACCCAUGGUGAUGUGGUAUUGCUACUCGAUUACUUACCCUAUUUCUGUGACAAAGGCCCGUGAUAGAUAUGGUUAGACACAUAUUGAGCGUCCAAUUUCAUAAAUAUUGAGCAUACAGUUUCAACUUCAACUUAAACAUGAGAUUGUCUUGCUGUCGAGUUGUGUUCAGUUCUUUCCAUGUAGAACUUACUAGAAAUUCUUGCAUACAUCCUAAACAAAUAAAGAGCUGCAUGCAUUUAAAUUAAGCAGUUCCAAAGAAAGAAUUAUUUCAAGUUAUUUUGUUUGGAGAUGAGUUGCCUUUUCUACACCUUUGUGUAAAGGAUGGAGCCUCCACAGUGCCUAUGAGCCAUGCUUUUUCCCACCCAGUAAAAUGGUCUAUUUUCAAGUGGCAUCAUACGGUGAAGGAGGGGAUCUGGAUCAAGAGCCGUAAUGGUGCUUGUGAUGGCAUGUCGAGCACUUGCGCGACCCUGGAGUCUGACUUCUUCCUUCAAGUUGACCAUACUAUUGUGAGAAUCUCGGCCAGGAUCAUUCUUUAUAUCAUGUUGGAUCAUCUUGGAAUUCGUAGAGCCAUUUACCCUCGAAGGAUGUACUCACAGAACAAAUCAGUGUGAUUAUGCUUUUCUACACUUCCGUCCAAAGUAAUGGGAUAUGUAUUCUGUACUGUAUAGCUACCCUCUAAUGCACUACUCAGCCUUCAAUAUCUGUAUGUACAAAUGACUUGAUCUAAUUAUUAUGAAUGACAUAUGGAGUGUGCUGCUUUCUAUAUAAAUGGCUUGCUCUAAUUCUGAUUUAUCAUACCGCAUUGCUUUUGAUCUAUUCCUUUUUGCCAAACUUGAUGCGUCAAGCUUUGAGCUACUAUACUGACAGCAAAGGUAACAUUCCACAAUGUACAAGUUCAUAUCACCUACUAAUCCACAUGUACUAUACUGCGGCAUGCUCAUAUCACCUACUAAUCCACAAGUACAAGUUCUAUGUCAAAGAUAAUCAUUCUCUCUGCUAAAAGCAUGGGCUCUGCAUUAUGUUUCUACUUUCAUUCCUUCCUAUCCUAUAUUAAUGCUUUUGGUACCGAACUUAAUGAUGAGUGGUUAUCUUUUGUGGUCUUAUGAACAUGCUGAACUCAAUGUUGCCUUAUAAUUUCAUGUCGAUAUUGAACUCCAUUAUGUUUUAUCACAAACGAAUGUUUCUUCUUCACUUUAGUUUGUUAUCAUGUUUCAUACGCUAAACGCAGAUUUGUACUAACUUAGCACUACUUGCUUUACCAAAAUGUUGGGACCGGCACCCUCGCGCCAGGGCGCGAUCCCGAUCUAGUCUUCUUGGUGGCGGCUGAGACACGGGAGAGCCUGCUGCGGGAGAUCGGCGGCGGCGGCAUUUUUGAAGAUGUUGUGCCCAGAUUGGCAUUCGUACUGCGAGAAAGACGAUGAGGAUAGCUUUGGCAUUUUCAUUCGCGACGGGUCUGGAGAUUUUGCUCAUCCCAUGCACCGCAAGGAACCAGUUCAACCAGAUCAGUGGCCUGAAGUUUAAAGCACACGGCCCUAGGUAUGUUGUUGAUGUGUUCAUUGGACACUCAACAAUAUUUUGAUUAGGGGUGAUGACUGGGCGAAGUUCAAAUGUGACUUCAACAUUUGCCAGGGCAAAAAAGUGGUGUUCGACAUGUUUUGGACGGAUGCCCCAGGCUUAUGUGUGUUAUGUUGGAAGUGGGCUUGCAACAGAUCACAGGGGGUGCAAGGCGGGACAUGGCAGGAGGUGAUGUUGCGCCGGGGGGGGGGGGGGAGCCGGCAAUUUUGCUGUGCAUGGAGUGGAAGAGGUAAUUAAUUGUGGUCACGGUGUUGAAGCUGCCCCAGACAUCAUUUGUACCAGGGGUGUUGUUCUCAGUGAUGGCGAAGCACAAAUGUUGGGACUGGUAAUAACCAUUGAAGAUGGAUACACAUUGGACCACAUUUUGUGCACCGCCUCACGCCCACGAACAUCACAAGCAAGUUUAUGGAAAAUCCCCAAUAAAAUAGUUCAACCAGUGAACUUGGCUCCAAAAGGGGUUGUUGGGAUUUUGCAUCCGUGUAGGAGAUCUCAUGCAGCUUGGAUAUCACAUGGAUCGUGAUGGACGGAUGGUCUUCGAUAAAGAUUGGGGGUGUUUUUGUAGCCCAGAAUUACCUCCAGGUGGACGAUGCUGUCAUUUUCAACUUGAAGCAGAGCAAUGCACAAGGCAUCAACAUAACAUGCAUCGUCAUUGGUUUGAGGCCGGCACAAGGAUACAAGUUUUUGUGCUAGAAACAGUGUAACAUCAUUUCCUAAGGCGACCAUUUAUUGUGACUUAGGCUAUCCAGCUACCUUCCCUUUUUAUGUCUUUUUGUUUUUCUGAACUAUGUAAGCAUUGGGAUGGAUGUUUUCCUGAACUAUGUAAGCACUGAGAUGGAUCUUU